GACGAACGCUGGCGGCGUGCUUAACACAUGCAAGUCGAACGGAAAGGCCCUGCUUUUGUGGGGUGCUCGAUUGGCGAACGGGUGAGUAACACGUGAGUAACCUGCCCUUGACUUUGGGAUAACUUCAGGAAACUGGGGCUAAUAUCGGAUAGGAGCUCCUGCUGCAUGGUGGGGGAUGGAAAGAUUCGGCGGUUGGGGAUGGACUCGCGGCUUAUCAGCUUGUUGGUGGGGUAGUUGCUUACCAAGGCUUUGACGGGUAGCCGGCCUGAGAGGGUGACCGGCCACAUUGGGACUGAGAUACGGCCCAGACUCCUACGGGAGGCAGAAGUGGGGAAUAUUGCACAAUGGGCGGAAGCCUGAUGCAGCAACGCCGCGUGCGGGAUGACGGCCUUCGGGUUGUAAACCGCUUUCGCCUGUGACGAAGCGUGAGUGACGGUAAUGGGUAAAGAAGCACCGGCUAACUACGUG
RNAcentral lists this ribosomal RNA (468 nucleotides) under uncultured bacterium. RNAcentral's name for it is "partial 16S ribosomal RNA". It matches the Rfam family "Bacterial small subunit ribosomal RNA", at positions 28 to 507 of the family's 1533-position model. The record is from RNAcentral.